UGGGUAGCAAACAGGAUUAGAUACCCUGGUAGUCCACGCCGUAAACGAUGUCGACCAGCCGUUGGGUGCCUAGCGCACUUUGUGGCGAAGUUAACGCGAUAAGUCGACCGCCUGGGGAGUACGGCCGCAAGGUUAAAACUCAAAUGAAUUGACGGGGGCCCGCACAAGCGGUGGAGCAUGUGGUUUAAUUCGAUGCAACGCGAAGAACCUUACCUACUCUUGACAUCCUGCGAAUUUGGUAGAGAUACCUUAGUGCCUUCGGGAACGCAGAGACAGGUGCUGCAUGGCUGUCGUCAGCUCGUGUUGUGAAAUGUUGGGUUAAGUCCCGUAACGAGCGCAACCCUUGUCCUUAUUUGCCAGCGCGUAAUGGCGGGAACUCUAAGGAGACUGCCGGUGACAAACCGGAGGAAGGUGGGGACGACGUCAAGUCAUCAUGGCCCUUACGAGUAGGGCUACACACGUGCUACAAUGGUCGGUACAAAGGGUUGCCAACUCGCGAGAGUGAGCCAAUCCCGAAAAGCCGAUCUCAGUCCGGAUCGGAGUCUGCAACUCGACUCCGUGAAGUCGGAAUCGCUAGUAAUCGUGGAUCAGAAUGCCACGGUGAAUACGUUCCCGGGCCUUGUACACACCGCCCGUCACA
Molecule: ribosomal RNA, 640 nt
Filed under: Vreelandella aquamarina
Lineage: Bacteria; Pseudomonadati; Pseudomonadota; Gammaproteobacteria; Oceanospirillales; Halomonadaceae
Description: bacterial SSU rRNA
Rfam family: Bacterial small subunit ribosomal RNA
Source: RNAcentral